CUUCAAUGAGAUGAAGUGGCCAAGGUGCCUACAGUGAACCUUUAAUGUUUACUAGCAGCAGAAAGGAUAUAUCAUUGAUGGUGAUAAUUUAAUCUGCAUGCAUCCUACAUAGACGUUGGUGUUGUUAACCCUUUCAUGCAAUGCUUUAUUGAAGGAACACUCCCACCACCAUAACAACUACAGUUCAUUGUAGUGUUUAUUGUUCCAAGAGUGCCCUGGCGCCCCCUUCCUCCAUCAUAAGGAAUCAACCUGUUUUUGAGCAGUUUGACUUCUUACGUGGGAUACAUCAGCUGUGAUUUUUUUUUUUUUCUGUUACAAAUAAUAAUUUUCCUCUUUUACAUUGUGGGAUUUACACUCCGCUCUUAAAAGCACAUUAUUACCUUUUGCAGCAAAGGACCAAGGGCCUUAUUCUCUGCUACUGCCCUGCCAUGUGUUGCACGGCAAGGGCAUUCAGUGAGACCAAGUGGAUCUUAAAAUAUUAGGGUGUCAACUUCAGAGAUAGACCCAUGUCCAAGCACUGAAUCUGCAGUUUACAAAUGUAAAUAAAUUUUCUUUGUGUAGAUUUUAAA
This is a long non-coding RNA of Pelobates fuscus (common spadefoot toad), 569 nucleotides long. RefSeq lists it as uncharacterized. The transcript has 2 exons. Lineage: Eukaryota; Metazoa; Chordata; Amphibia; Anura; Pelobatidae. The record is from RefSeq and is a predicted model, not a curated record.